GAAAUGCGAUAAGUAAUGUGAAUUGCAGAAUUCAGUGAAUCAUCGAAUCUUUGAACGCACAUUGCGCCCUCUGGCAUUCCGGGGGGCAUGCCCGUUCGAGCGUCAUUAACACCCCUCAAGCCUGGCUUGGUAUUGGGCGUCGGGAUACCCUCCCGCGCCCCGAUUUCGCCGGCUGGACGACUCCGAUCUCUCAAGCGUUGUACAAUCUCGCUGGCGAGUCGGGCGGCCACGCCGUUAACCUUUAAUCAAAUCGUUGACCUCGGAUCGGGUAGGAAUACCCGCUGAACUUAA
RNAcentral lists this unclassified non-coding RNA (291 nucleotides) under uncultured Devriesia. RNAcentral's name for it is "sequence contains ITS1". The stretch from base 1 to 105 matches the Rfam family "5.8S ribosomal RNA", at positions 50 to 154 of the family's 154-position model. The record is from RNAcentral. Lineage: Eukaryota; Fungi; Ascomycota; Dothideomycetes; Mycosphaerellales; Teratosphaeriaceae.